This 374-nucleotide ribosomal RNA is filed under the name uncultured organism. RNAcentral's name for it is "partial 16S ribosomal RNA". It matches the Rfam family "Bacterial small subunit ribosomal RNA", at positions 526 to 896 of the family's 1533-position model. The record is from RNAcentral.
AGAGGGUGGCAAGCGUUGUUCAGAUUUACUGGGCUUAAAAGGGCGUGUAGGGCGUCCUGAUAAGUCAGAUGUGGGAAGCCUUGGGCUUUAACCCAAGAAGUGCAUUUGAUACUGUCGGGAUUGAGUCGUACAUGGGAGGGCGGAAUUCCUGGUGUAGCGGUGAAAUGCGUAGAUAUCAGGAGGAAGGCCAGUGGUGAAGACGGCCCUCUGGGUAAUGACUGACGCUGAGGCGCGAAAGCGUGGGUAGCAAACAGGAUUAGAUACCCUGGUAGUCCACGCCCUAAACGGUGGGUACUAGGUGUGGGUGGCGAUAGUCAUCCGUGCCAAAGGGAAACCAUUAAGUACCCCGCCUGGGGAGUACGGCCGCAAGGUUG